CGAAUGCUGACAUAAGUAACGAUAAAGCGGGUGAAAAGCCCGCUCGCCGGAAGACCAAGGGUUCCUGUCCAACGUUAAUCGGGGCAGGGUGAGUCGACCCCUAAGGCGAGGCCGAAAGGCGUAGUCGAUGGGAAACAGGUUAAUAUUCCUGUACUUGGUGUUACUGCGAAGGGGGGACGGAGAAGGCUAUGUUGGCCGGGCGACGGUUGUCCCGGUUUAAGCGUGUAGGCUGGUUUUCCAGGCAAAUCCGGAAAAUCAAGGCUGAGGCGUGAUGACGAGGCACUACGGUGCUGAAGCAACAAAUGCCCUGCUUCCAGGAAAAGCCUCUAAGCAUCAGGUAACAUCAAAUCGUACCCCAAACCGACACAGGUGGUCAGGUAGAGAAUACCAAGGCGCUUGAGAGAACUCGGGUGAAGGAACUAGGCAAAAUGGUGCCGUAACUUCGGGAGAAGGCACGCUGAUAUGUAGGUGAAGUCCCUCGCGGAUGGAGCUGAAAUCAGUCGAAGAUACCAGCUGGCUGCAACUGUUUAUUAAAAACACAGCACUGUGCAAACACGAAAGUGGACGUAUACGGUGUGACGCCUGCCCGGUGC
Molecule: ribosomal RNA, 593 nt
Filed under: Escherichia coli
Lineage: Bacteria; Pseudomonadati; Pseudomonadota; Gammaproteobacteria; Enterobacterales; Enterobacteriaceae
Also listed under: 19 other names
Description: bacterial LSU rRNA
Rfam family: Bacterial large subunit ribosomal RNA
Source: RNAcentral